AAAUGUGGUGAAAUUUUUAGGUAAUGAGAAAUCAAAACUUUAGCAGCACUCUAAAACAAAUGAUGGGCAACCAUCAUUCCUUUCAUUUACCUCCUAAAAAUAAUCAAUCAUCAUUAAUGAUACACAUUUCACAAUUAAUCCUCCAAUACCCUUUUUCUCUCUCUUUCUCUCUAAUCCCAAUUCGUGACAAAUGGAUGCUGAAUUGAACCAUCCAACAAUCCUAAAAUCCAGCGGCAUAACUCUUUAUUUGCAAGGUGCCAAUGUUACCAACAACUCCAUUUCUAAAUACUGAGUGAAAACAAUCAACCUUUGACAUGUGAGGACAUGGACAGAUCUUAAACCUGCUUUAUUCUGGCUGCUGAUGUGAUUUUUCUUCCUGGGUUUCCCUUGCACCCAGUUGAAUACCAUUUGAAUACCAUUUGAGCAAGUGUCUUUACUAACAGUAGCAACAAAUUGCCAGUCUUUUUUUGGUCUAAGGUCUUUCUGUUUCUAGUAGCUACAUCGGGUUAGACUCAAACUGGAUUGGAUCCCAAUCAGCGAAAAACUCCACGAAACUUGAAACUGUGACCUUAGCACCAAUUCUACCUUCCGUAACAGGAAACAGUGAAGCCAUUACAGUACCUUGAAUCUGAUAUCUUCUUGAUGGUUUACUAGUAUAGAAGCUUGCAUCUGUUCUGAACAAGCUGAAGUUAGCCAAUUGGCAAUAGACUCGAACCGCCAAAUUGGCACAUUGAAGUUCCAUCUUCGGGAACUCCUCAGCGAACUGCUUACUGUGGCCAUGCAUUCUCGGUCCCUCCAAACCCGAAACAAUACCAUUUGUCAUGCAUCUACUUGUGAUCUAUUUUAUCAGACUUAAAUUGAAUAAUUUAUACUCAUGAAAUGUCGAAUUACUUGGUUGCAGAUGCAAAUAUGUCAAUCAUCUUAUUGUGCCUGUGGCUUGCAGGAAUAACAUAUGUUGUUGGAGACUGCAAUAUUAAAGAAGGUACGGAAAGCUUGGUUUCAACAAAUACAUGAAAUCAAAACUUUUACAUUGAAGAAUGCCAUGAAUAGUUUUACAUUCCAGUUCAAGUUCCCAACAACCACACCCUUUCUUCCAGAUGAUCAUGGAGUAAGCUAAAUUCGAAAAAAAAAUGAAAGAAAAGAUCAACUAGUUAUCUAUUGCAAUUUGGGUCCUACUACCUUUUGAUGCAACCUUCUAAUUCUUUUGGACUUUCAUACAAUCCAUGCCAACUGUCUACGUACUCACAGCUGCUCCAUCGGUUGCCCAUGAGAGUAUGGUUGUUCUCCAUCUAAAAAUCAAAGAGAGAAGCAAAACAAUUAGUCUUCCAGGUGUACAGAAUCCAGAAAAGGUUUUACCUUGUAUGCACCAGAGUUGAAAAUGUAUAAUUAGAAAGGAAAAUUUAGGUGCAUUUAGAUCUCAUCAUACAGUCUCUGAAUACUGGAUCAAAACCAAGUUGUACGUGUCCAGUGUUGUAUUCUUCAUUCUAUUACAUUUUCCAUGCAAACUCUUACGGUAAUAA
Molecule: long non-coding RNA, 1520 nt
Organism: Gossypium arboreum
Lineage: Eukaryota; Viridiplantae; Streptophyta; Magnoliopsida; Malvales; Malvaceae
Exons: 3
Source: RefSeq, a predicted model, not a curated record